This 755-nucleotide ribosomal RNA is filed under the name uncultured eukaryote. Its description in RNAcentral is "SSU rRNA". It matches the Rfam family "Eukaryotic small subunit ribosomal RNA", at positions 73 to 871 of the family's 1831-position model. The record is from RNAcentral.
ACUAGUGAUUGAAACUGCGAAUGGCUCAUUAAAACAGUUAUAGUUUAUUUGAUAAUCGAAAGUUACAUGGAUAACCGUGACAAAUUACAGCUAAUACAUGCAGCAAGACCUCUAUGAGGUUGUAAUUAUUAGUAUUAAACCAAUUCCUUCGGGAAUGUGAUGAAUCAUAGUAAUCGAACGAAUCGCAGAAUUCUGCGAUAAAUCAUUCAAGUUUCUGCCCUAUCAGCUUUGGAUGGUAGUGUAUUGGACUACCAUGGCAAUCACGGGUAACGGAGAAUUAGGGUUCGAUUCCGGAGAGGGAGCCUGAGAAACGGCUACCACAUCUACGGAAGGCAGCAGGCGCGAAAAUUGCCCAAUCCUGAUUCAGGGAGGCAGUGACAAGAAAUAACAACUCUCAACUUUGUUGAGAAGUGUAAUGAGGAUAAUUUACAAACCUUACCGAAAGCAAUUGGAGGGCAAGUCUGGUGCCAGCAGCCGCGGUAAUUCCAGCUCCAAAAGCGUAUAUUAAAGUUGUUGCAGUUAAAAAGCUCGUAGUUGAAGUUCUGGCUGUAUUGGGCCUCUGCACUUGAUGCGGAGGAACCAGCAGUCAUCCGCUUGCAAAUACAUGUCCUUCCUUAACCGGUAGGCUGUAUAAGUAAGCACUUUACCUUGAGAAAAACAGAGUGUUCCAGGCAGGUUUGUCCGGAAUGCGUUAGCAUGGAAUAAUAGAAUAUGACUGAAGUCGAUUUAUUGGUUUAAGGCUUUAGUAAUGAUUA